Nephila pilipes (giant wood spider) is the source of this 78-nucleotide non-coding RNA. Lineage: Eukaryota; Metazoa; Arthropoda; Arachnida; Araneae; Nephilidae. The record is from the annotation of a GenBank genome assembly.
UGAAGGGUAGCGCAGUGGUGGAGCGAUCGUUUUGCUUAUGAAAGCAAAAGGCCUUGGGUUUGAUCCCCAGCUCUUCAG